ACCCGGAGCGAGGCCAUCGUGCAGCAAGGAGGAAUACCAGCUGAUGUCAGUCCGCCAGCCAAAACCAGGGAGGAGAAGCGGGAGCCAGCCCUCUGGAGUCGGGAGAAGGAAGAAGGUGCCACAGCUCUUCAGGACCACGGUUGGGAGAAAGAAUGGAGGGGUUUUAGAACCUUCAGUGUGCGACUUCAUGUGCCAGUCUUCAUCUCAGGAUCUCAAGCUCUUGGAUCAUGGGCACGGAUAACCUGUUGUCCUCCUCUAUGGUCAAGAGGCUGCUUUUGCAAAGAAUCCAGUGGGAGAGAGUCAAUGGCCUGCUUGACGUGAACUCCAAAGUCCUCCUGGAACAGGGGCUCACUCUGUUGCCCACAUUGGAGUGCGGUGGAAGAAUCAUGGCAUGCUGCAGUCUUGAGCUUCUAGGCUCAAGAGAUCCUCCUGGUUCAGUCUCCCAAGUAGCUAGGACAGCAGGCAUAUUUUUUGUAGAUAUGGGGGUCUUGCUUUUUUGCCGAGGCUGGUCUCGAACUCCUGGCUUCAAGCAAUCUUCCUGCAUCAGUCUCUUAAAGUGUUGGGAUUCCAGGCAUGAACCACUGCACCUGGCCCUUGGGAAGUUUUAUUUUUAGCCUAGGGUUGGGGUUAAGUUUGCAUCAUGAUGUUGAGACCUCCAAAGGAGAACUUAUUGUAGUCAUUCCUGAGCUCAGGUGUCCAAACUGUCUAAUUGGAGAAUCUGGGAAUUUUCUCUCGUUUUGAUUUUCCUCUUCCACUUUUCCAUGCCAGUUGGAUGUUUGAAUGUUUUUAUCGACCUCUGAGAGCAUCCGGGUAACUGAGGGUUUACUUUGGGGGUCUUUGGAGAUGAAUAGGGACAGGAGACCUCACCUUUCUUUUCCAUGUAGCCAUAGGAGAUAGUCCCACGAUCUGAUGAUCUGUAGCAAUGGGUAGAGGAAGGGCCGUAUUAG
Molecule: long non-coding RNA, 947 nt
Filed under: Homo sapiens (human)
Lineage: Eukaryota; Metazoa; Chordata; Mammalia; Primates; Hominidae
Description: non-protein coding RAMP2-AS1:13
Source: RNAcentral